This 253-nucleotide ribosomal RNA is filed under the name uncultured bacterium. RNAcentral describes it as "partial 16S ribosomal RNA". It matches the Rfam family "Bacterial small subunit ribosomal RNA", at positions 524 to 776 of the family's 1533-position model. The record is from RNAcentral.
UACAGGGGGGGCAAGCGUUGUUCGGAAUUACUGGGCGUAAAGGGCUCGUAGGUGGCCAACUAAGUCAGACGUGAAAUCCCUCAGCUUAACUGGGGAACUGCGUCUGAUACUGGAUGGCUUGAGUUUGGGAGAGGGAUGCGGAAUUCCAGGUGUAGCGGUGAAAUGCGUAGAUAUCUGGAGGAACACCGGUGGCGAAGGCGGCAUCCUGGACCAACACUGACACUGAGGAGCGAAAGCGUGGGGAGCAAACGGG